RNAcentral lists this ribosomal RNA (211 nucleotides) under uncultured bacterium. RNAcentral's name for it is "partial 16S ribosomal RNA". It matches the Rfam family "Bacterial small subunit ribosomal RNA", at positions 524 to 733 of the family's 1533-position model. The record is from RNAcentral.
UACGUAGGGUGCGAGCGUUAAUCGGAAUUACUGGGCGUAAAGCGCACGUAGGUGGUUUGUUAAGCUAGCUGUGAAAUCCCCCGGGCUCAACCCGGGAACUGCGUCCGAUACUGGAAGGCUUGAAUCCGGGAGAGGGAUGCGGAAUUCCAGGUGUAGCGGUGAAAUGCGUAGAUAUCUGGAGGAACACCGAUGGCGAAGGCAGGUCUCUGGG